GAUGAACGCUGGCGGCGUGCCUAAUACAUGCAAGUCGAGCGAACAGACGAGAGUGCUUGCACUCUCUGACGUUAGCGGCGGACGGGUGAGUAACACGUGGGUAACCUACCUAUAAGACUGGGAUAACUUCGGGAAACCGGAGCUAAUACCGGAUAAUAUUUAGCUUCGCAUGAAGCAAUAGUGAAAGACGGUUCUGCUGUCACUUAUAGAUGGACCCGCGGUGUAUUAGCUAGUUGGUGAGGUAACGGCUCACCAAGGCAACGAUACAUAGCCGACCUGAGGGGGUGAUCGGCCAACCUGGGACGGAGACCCGCCCCAGACCCCUAGGGGGGGAAGCAGUGGGGAAUUUUCCGAAAGGGCCGAAAGUCUGACGGAGCAAUGCCGCGUGGGGGAAGAAGUUUUUCGGAUCGUAAAACUCUUUUUUAAGGGAAGAAAAAGUACGUUAGUAACUGACCGUACCUUGACGGUACCUUACCAGAAAGCCACGGCUAACUACGU
RNAcentral lists this ribosomal RNA (498 nucleotides) under uncultured bacterium. Its description in RNAcentral is "partial 16S ribosomal RNA". It matches the Rfam family "Bacterial small subunit ribosomal RNA", at positions 28 to 506 of the family's 1533-position model. The record is from RNAcentral.